This is a non-coding RNA of Coturnix japonica (Japanese quail), 403 nucleotides long. The record is from RefSeq and is a predicted model, not a curated record. Lineage: Eukaryota; Metazoa; Chordata; Aves; Galliformes; Phasianidae.
UAGGGGGUAUGCCCCUAUAGGGCCGCGGAGCUCUGCAGGACAUCGACCAGCUGUCCCUAUUUAGGACCCUCUGUAAGACGUGCGUCUCGGUUCGCGCCGUGCGUCACAUCGUCCCCACUCUGCGUCGAGCCAUCGCCACCGCGCAGUCGGGGACCCCAGGUCCCGUCUUCGUGGAGCUCCCCAUUGACGUCCUUUACCCCUUCCACGUGGUAGAAAAGGAGGUGGGAGCCCCUACAAGGACCCAAAGUCUACGGGGGAAGCUGGUCCAUUGGUACCUCCAGAAUUACCUCCGGAACCUCUUUGCUGGCGCGUGGGAGCUCCGGGAUCUCACCCCAUUACCCAUCAAGUUCCCAUUGGCCACCGAGGAUGAGGUUGGGUUUGUCCCUUAUAAAUGGAUCUAUGG